RNAcentral lists this ribosomal RNA (441 nucleotides) under uncultured bacterium. Its description in RNAcentral is "partial 16S ribosomal RNA". It matches the Rfam family "Bacterial small subunit ribosomal RNA", at positions 28 to 507 of the family's 1533-position model. The record is from RNAcentral.
GAUGAACGCUGGCGGCGUGCCUAAUACAUGCAAGUCGAACGGGGAGUAGCAAUACUCUUAGUGGCGAACGGGGGAGUAACGCGUUGGUACCUGCCCCGAAGCGGGGGAUAACGGACCGAAAGGUCCGCUAAUACCCCAUGUGCUCGGUAACGAGUAAAGGUGAAAAACACUUUGGGAGGGGCAUGCGUCCCAUCAGCUAGUUGGUAAGGUAACGGCUUACCAAGGCGGUGACGGGUAGGGGACCUGAGAGGGUGGCCCCCCACAAUGGAACUGAAACACGGUCCAUACCCCUGCGGGUGGGAGGAGUAGGGAAUAUUGGUAAUGGGCGCAAGCCUGAACAAGCAACGCCGCGUGUGCGAUGACGGCCUUGGGGUUGUAAAGCACUUUUGACGGGGACGAGGAAGGACGGUACCGGUCGAAUCAGCCUCGGCUAACUACGUG